UACGUAGGUGGCAAGCGUUGUUCGGAAUCACUGGGCUUAAAGGGCGCGUAGGCGGGCCGCAAAGUCUGUGGUGAAAUCCUCCAGCUUAACUGGAGAACUGCCAUGGAUACUCGCGGCCUCGAGGAUGGUAGGGGCGUGCGGAACAGUUGGUGGAGCGGUGAAAUGCGUUGAUAUCAACUGGAACUCCGGUGGCGAAGGCGGCACGCUGGACCAUGUCUGACGCUGAGGCGCGAAAGCCAGGGGAGCAAACGGG
This 253-nucleotide ribosomal RNA is filed under the name uncultured bacterium. RNAcentral's name for it is "partial 16S ribosomal RNA". It matches the Rfam family "Bacterial small subunit ribosomal RNA", at positions 524 to 776 of the family's 1533-position model. The record is from RNAcentral.